AAGCAACGGAACUAGGUCGAGUAUUUAAAAGGUUAUGGUUUAACAUGGUUUAACGUCGAUGUAAUACAUUGUUUUAGCGUACCUUUUGCUUAAACGAGGAGCUGGGGGACGCUAGAAAAAUAGACGUUUUACUCAUUACUUCAUUAAAAACGUGACAUUUAGACAUUUUUUUCGGCGUGGAUCAAGGCAAAUGAAUCCUUUUCACCUUGAAAAUAAUAAAUGUUUUUUUUACAUUUUAAAUAAUUAAAUAAUAGAACAUUUCUCAGUGAUCGACAAUAAAACAAAAUUCCAUUUUUCUCGGUUUAAUGAAAACCAAUAGGUCGUUAUGGCAGAGGCGAUAGCGUGUAGAAUAGGUCAACAUCCGGUUUCACGUUUGAGGGGGUUAAACCGUGACAUCUACACGUUUUCCAAAAUGGACCAACGUGAUUAUUUCACGUCUUGUCGUGAUACCGGGUUGAAG
Molecule: long non-coding RNA, 460 nt
Organism: Rhinichthys klamathensis goyatoka
Lineage: Eukaryota; Metazoa; Chordata; Actinopteri; Cypriniformes; Leuciscidae
Exons: 2
Source: RefSeq, a predicted model, not a curated record